UGACCAAUAAUGGCUGACUAG
RNAcentral lists this unclassified non-coding RNA (21 nucleotides) under Mus musculus (house mouse). RNAcentral describes it as "oocyte_clustered_small_RNA11371". The record is from RNAcentral. Lineage: Eukaryota; Metazoa; Chordata; Mammalia; Rodentia; Muridae.